This 331-nucleotide ribosomal RNA is filed under the name Anaplasma platys. RNAcentral describes it as "bacterial SSU rRNA". It matches the Rfam family "Bacterial small subunit ribosomal RNA", at positions 67 to 412 of the family's 1533-position model. The record is from RNAcentral. Lineage: Bacteria; Pseudomonadati; Pseudomonadota; Alphaproteobacteria; Rickettsiales; Anaplasmataceae.
UUUUUGUCGUAGCUUGCUAUGAUAAAAAUUAGUGGCAGACGGGUGAGUAAUGCAUAGGAAUCUACCUAGUAGUAUGGGAUAGCCACUAGAAAUGGUGGGUAAUACUGUAUAAUCCCUGCGGGGGAAAGAUUUAUCGCUAUUAGAUGAGCCUAUGUUAGAUUAGCUAGUUGGUAGGGUAAAGGCCUACCAAGGCAGUGAUCUAUAGCUGGUCUGAGAGGAUGAUCAGCCACACUGGAACUGAGAUACGGUCCAGACUCCUACGGGAGGCAGCAGUGGGGAAUAUUGGACAAUGGGCGCAAGCCUGAUCCAGCUAUGCCGCGUGAGUGAGGAA